Molecule: ribosomal RNA, 595 nt
Filed under: Fusarium oxysporum
Lineage: Eukaryota; Fungi; Ascomycota; Sordariomycetes; Hypocreales; Nectriaceae
Description: eukaryotic LSU rRNA
Rfam family: 5.8S ribosomal RNA (bases 148-301)
Source: RNAcentral
GGCCUCGAGUUCACUCCCAACCCCUGUGACAUACCACUUGUUGCCUCGGCGGAUCAGCCCGCUCCCGGUAAAACGGGACGGCCCGCCAGAGGACCCCUAAACUCUGUUUCUAUAUGUAACUUCUGAGUAAAACCAUAAAUAAAUCAAAACUUUCAACAACGGAUCUCUUGGUUCUGGCAUCGAUGAAGAACGCAGCAAAAUGCGAUAAGUAAUGUGAAUUGCAGAAUUCAGUGAAUCAUCGAAUCUUUGAACGCACAUUGCGCCCGCCAGUAUUCUGGCGGGCAUGCCUGUUCGAGCGUCAUUUCAACCCUCAAGCACAGCUUGGUGUUGGGACUCGCGUUAAUUCGCGUUCCUCAAAUUGAUUGGCGGUCACGUCGAGCUUCCAUAGCGUAGUAGUAAAACCCUCGUUACUGGUAAUCGUCGCGGCCACGCCGUUAAACCCCAACUUCUGAAUGUUGACCUCGGAUCAGGUAGGAAUACCCGCUGAACUUAAGCAUAUCAAUAAGGCGGGGGGCAAAUUUUUUUGGGUUUACAACUCAAAACCCUGGAACAUCCAUUGUUGCUUGGCGUAUUGGCCCGUCCGUAAAAGGGACGC